GUCCCGUUCGUCUAGAGGCCUAGGACACCGCCCUUUCACGGCGGCGACACGGGUUCGAAUCCCGUACGGGACG
RNAcentral lists this transfer RNA (73 nucleotides) under Roseomonas mucosa. It matches the Rfam family "tRNA". Rfam says of the family: Transfer RNA (tRNA) molecules are approximately 80 nucleotides in length. Their secondary structure includes four short double-helical elements and three loops (D, anti-codon, and T loops). Lineage: Bacteria; Pseudomonadati; Pseudomonadota; Alphaproteobacteria; Acetobacterales; Roseomonadaceae. RNAcentral also lists the same sequence under 4 other names. The record is from Rfam by way of RNAcentral.